RNAcentral lists this ribosomal RNA (426 nucleotides) under uncultured bacterium. RNAcentral describes it as "partial 16S ribosomal RNA". It matches the Rfam family "Bacterial small subunit ribosomal RNA", at positions 354 to 796 of the family's 1533-position model. The record is from RNAcentral.
GUGGGGAAUAUUGCACAAUGGGGGAAACCCUGAUGCAGCGACGCCGCGUGAGCGAAGAAGUAUUUCGGUAUGUAAAGCUCUAUCAGCAGGGAAGAAGAAUGACGGUACCUGACUAAGAAGCACCGGCUAAAUACGUGCCAGCAGCCGCGGUAAUACGUAUGGUGCAAGCGUUAUCCGGAUUUACUGGGUGUAAAGGGAGCGCAGGCGGUGCGGCAAGUCUGAUGUGAAAGCCCGGGGCUCAACCCCGGUACUGCAUUGGAAACUGUCGUACUAGAGUGUCGGAGGGGUAAGUGGAAGUCCUAGUGUAGCGGUGAAAUGCGUAGAUAUUAGGAGGAACACCAGUGGCGAAGGCGGCUUACUGGACGAUAACUGACGCUGAGGCUCGAAAGCGUGGGGAGCAAACAGGAUUAGAAACCCUAGUAGUCC